UAUGGCAGCUGUGCCAUGUUUCGCGUUAGAACAAAAGAAAUAAAACAUGUAGGUCCUGCAGAGAGCGUUGGGAAACUCUGUGGAAUGCCAAUGGUAUCUGUAAACAUUGUUUGUCAAAAUUUAAAUUGUUCAUUUGAUAUUGAUUACCCCUCAGGGUCAUUUUACAUGACCUACAUUAGGUAUACUUAGUAUAAUCUUAUAUCUCUUAAUAAUUAAUUUGUAUUUGUAUUUAUAUAAUAUGUGUUGCCGGCGCGCAUCCCACUGUACUGGCAACGCUUUUGGAUGCACUACCACAAGAAGACAUAGUUGUACCUAAAUGGAAUCUACUGAUAGGGAAGCUGUCAGAUAUGAUGAUAAGCGAGAUGGAAAGGAGUAAAAGGAUGAGGAGUUGAAUGAAAAGAAAACCUAAAAACUAGAUAUACAAUGAAUUGUGAGCUUAUUGAAUUCGCUAUUAUUGAAGUUAAAGCUAAAGUUAGUUGCUGAUAAAUCUUAAAUCUAAUGUUAGUCGUUGUUAAAACUUAAAUCUACUUGAGAGUACGGUAAGAAGUGAAGUUAUUAAUAACAUACAGUAUAAUAUAAGCUAAAACAGUUUUCCCGAUAGUGUGCCCCACCCGAACGAACAGUAUCUCGAAGUUGGCGUCUUGAUUAGUCGAAUACAUUGAACAUAAAAUUAAAUAAAACGUUGGUACCGUCACGCAACAAUUACCGGCAGCAAUAUUAUGACUGCCAUGCUAGGAGCGCAGUAAAUGUGAGUAGCAAUUAAAGUAAGAUAUUUUAAGGCAAAUCAAUAUCUCUAACCAUUCUAACAGGAAUUUUGUAAUCCCCCGGCUUAAA
Long non-coding RNA from Aedes aegypti (yellow fever mosquito), 834 nucleotides. RefSeq lists it as uncharacterized. Lineage: Eukaryota; Metazoa; Arthropoda; Insecta; Diptera; Culicidae. The transcript has 2 exons. The record is from RefSeq and is a predicted model, not a curated record.